GAUGAACGCUGGCGGCGUGCCUAAUACAUGCCAGUCGAGCGAACAGAUGAGGAGCUUGCUCCUCUGACGUUAGCGGCGGACGGGUGAGUAACACGUGGAUAACCUACCUAUAAGACUGGGAUAACUUCGGGAAACCGGAGCUAAUACCGGAUCAUAUAUUGAACCGCAUGGUUCAAUAGUGAAAGACGGUUUUGCUGUCACUUAUAGAUGGAUCCGCGCCGCAUUAGCUAGUUGGUAAGGUAACGGCUUACCAAGGCAACGAUGCGUAGCCGACCUGAGAGGGUGAUCGGCCACACUGGAACUGAGACACGGUCCAGACUCCUACGGGAGGCAGCAGUAGGGAAUCUUCCGCAAUGGGCGAAAGCCUGACGGAGCAACGCCGCGUGAGUGAUGAAGGUCUUCGGAUCGUAAAACUCUGUUAUUAGGGAAGAACAAAUGUGUAAGUAACUAUGCACGUCUUGACGGUACCUAAUCAGAAAGCCACGGCUAACUACGUG
Molecule: ribosomal RNA, 497 nt
Filed under: uncultured bacterium
Lineage: Bacteria
Description: partial 16S ribosomal RNA
Rfam family: Bacterial small subunit ribosomal RNA
Source: RNAcentral